Molecule: ribosomal RNA, 465 nt
Filed under: uncultured Klebsiella sp.
Lineage: Bacteria; Pseudomonadati; Pseudomonadota; Gammaproteobacteria; Enterobacterales; Enterobacteriaceae
Description: bacterial SSU rRNA
Rfam family: Bacterial small subunit ribosomal RNA
Source: RNAcentral
CCUACGGGGGGCUGCAGUGGGGAAUAUUGCACAAUGGGCGCAAGCCUGAUGCAGCCAUGCCGCGUGUGUGAAGAAGGCCUUCGGGUUGUAAAGCACUCUCAGCGGGGAGGAAGGCGUUAAGGUUAAUAACCUUGUCGAUUGACGUUACCCGCAGAAGAAGCACCGGCUAACUCCGUGCCAGCAGCCGCGGUAAUACGGAGGGUGCAAGCGUUAAUCGGAAUUACUGGGCGUAAAGCGCACGCAGGCGGACUGUCAAGUCGGAUGUGAAAUCCCCGGGCUCAACCUGGGAACUGCAUUCGAAACUGGCAGGCUAGAGUCUUGUAGAGGGGGGUAGAAUUCCAGGUGUAGCGGUGAAAUGCGUAGAGGUCUGGAGGAAUACCGGUGGCGAAGGCGGCCCCCUGGACAAAGACUGACGCUCAGGUGCGAAAGCGUGGGGAGCAAACAGGAUUAGAUACCCCAGUAGUC